CUGUAAAACGGGACGGCCCGCCAGAGGACCCAAACUCUAAUGUUUCUUAUUGUAACUUCUGAGUAAAACAAACAAAUAAAUCAAAACUUUCAACAACGGAUCUCUUGGUUCUGGCAUCGAUGAAGAACGCAGCAAAAUGCGAUAAGUAAUGUGAAUUGCAGAAUUCAGUGAAUCAUCGAAUCUUUGAACGCACAUUGCGCCCGCUGGUAUUCCGGCGGGCAUGCCUGUUCGAGCGUCAUUUCAACCCUCAAGCCCCCGGGUUUGGUGUUGGGGAUCGGCUCUGCCUUACGGCGGUGCCGCCCCCGAAAUACAUUGGCGGUCUCGCUGCAGCCUCCAUUGCGUAGUAGCUAACACCUCGCAACUGGAACGCGGCGCGGCCAUGCCGUAAAACCCCAACUUCUGAAUGUUGACCUCGGAUCAGGUAGGAAUA
This 430-nucleotide ribosomal RNA is filed under the name Fusarium avenaceum. Its description in RNAcentral is "eukaryotic LSU rRNA". The stretch from base 85 to 238 matches the Rfam family "5.8S ribosomal RNA". The record is from RNAcentral. Lineage: Eukaryota; Fungi; Ascomycota; Sordariomycetes; Hypocreales; Nectriaceae.